UACAGAGGGUGCGAGCGUUGUCCGGAAUCACUGGGCGUAAAGGGCGCGUAGGCGGCGCGGUAAGCGUGCGGUGAAAGCCCGGGGCUCAACCCCGGGUCGGCCGUGCGGACUGCCGGGCUGGAGCACUGUAGGGGCAGGUGGAAUUCCGGGUGUAGCGGUGGAAUGCGUAGAGAUCCGGAAGAACACCGGUGGCGAAGGCGGCCUGCUGGGCAGUAGCUGACGCUGAAGCGCGACAGCGUGGGGAGCAAACAGG
This 253-nucleotide ribosomal RNA is filed under the name uncultured bacterium. Its description in RNAcentral is "partial 16S ribosomal RNA". It matches the Rfam family "Bacterial small subunit ribosomal RNA", at positions 524 to 776 of the family's 1533-position model. The record is from RNAcentral.